Molecule: long non-coding RNA, 1726 nt
Organism: Glycine soja
Lineage: Eukaryota; Viridiplantae; Streptophyta; Magnoliopsida; Fabales; Fabaceae
Exons: 6
Source: RefSeq, a predicted model, not a curated record
AUGAAAGCACCAAAAUUGUUAGGAACCAGAAUAAUCCUUUAGAAUUGGAGGACUAAGGGCUUCCCAAACACAAAGGGCACUAACGGAAAUGUAAAAGAAUAACAGAAAAGCAUAACCCAAAGGAAAUGGAAAAGCAUAACAGAAUGGUAAAUGGCAGAUAACAUCUCCUAGCCAAGCCAGCUCCUCAACCUAUAGCAUAAUCUGUUGAUGCCUUGGUGGGUUGAUGCUUCUUUUGGGCCUUAUGGUCCUCUACCUAUCAACUGCAUAAGGGAGUUGUUGUAAACGUUAAGUAAUGCAUAAGGGAGUUGUUGUAAACGUUAAGUAAAGCAUGAAGUCAUGUGCAAUUUCAAUAUACCCUGGGAGGAUGUUAGUGUAAUUUGUUCUAAUAAUAUCCUUAGUUACUCUACAUGAAUUUUAUGUUUUUCUUUGCUUUCUUGUAAUUGAUUUGGAAAUCAGGAUGGUGUUGAUUAACCAGUUUUGUGCUCAUAGUCAUAGCUUUAGAUUCUUGUCUUAUAUAAUGAAAUGGGAAAUUUGUUAACCAAAUUGAGUGCGAAUUAUUUGUUUUGCCUAUCUUUCUUACAAGCAGCAUGCUUUGCUCUUGCUCUUGGCUUUUGUGGGUCUGCAAAUUUACAAUUGGGACCCUACUGCUCACGUUUGAUAAAAAUCAACUCAAUGUUAGUGCAGUCUAUGAAGGUGAUUGAUUGAAGUUUGAUUAACAUAGAUUGCAUACAUUAUAUGUACUCACUAAUCUUACAUAAACAUGCAGGAAGAAAAAGGCUUGUUGAGUGGAAAGAGGACCCAUUAUUCCCUAAUGCAACAUUGUACUGGAAUACUAUCUCACAGUAAAAGCUGUGCUCAUAUGCUCCAUACUUUUUCUUUUUAUUAUGAUCUUAUCAUCUGUAUUAUUUGUCUAUUUUAAUUCCAGGAAGUGGCAGCAUCACAUAGAAAAUAUCACAAUCAUUUACUUAUUAUGUGGCAGUUGACAAUAUGAACCUUCAAAAUGUAGAGGUAGAAUAGAACUUCUCUUCGAAUGCACUUAUCUAGUAUCUACAAUACAUCCUUCACAAGCCAUAGAUGUUCUUUGUAUAAUGGUUUACGUGUAUUAUUAAACCUUGUUCUUUUGGAGUCAAACACUGCAAUAUUAACAACUCCAGGUGACAGAGAGGUGGAUUUGUGUCACAGCAUAACUCUUCUGCACUAAUUCACAUGUAAUCCAACGAGUGUUUCUGAUGAAGAAAGGUUUGAUGUGAAUGUAUCUUAUGAACAAAGAUGGAUCAUAUAUUUAACAGGAUCAGGUGUGGUACCCGUGCUAGUCUUACUUGCCCUGAAAAUCUUCAAAAUGUUCCAAACUAAUGGCGAAGAAAGGGAAGAAUUCCAACAAGUGCAACUGAUUUUAGAACAAGCUCCACUACUGCCUAGUAAAGAUGAUGUUCUUCCAAGUUGGGGUUCAUCUGAUGAAUCUCUCUCUAAUGAAGAAGAGGAUCUCACAAUGUGGCUUGCAUUGCAGGGAAUUCUUCUAUGGAAGGAAAGUCAUCAAGGGAAGGGGAGACUAGCAAUGACCUCUAGCAUUUGUAUGCCAUUUGCUUUGAUGCUCAAAGGGAUUGCUUCUUUCUCCCAUGUGGUCAUUGGGUGGCAUGCUUUCCAUUUGGAACUAGUUACACAUUACUUUUAUAUUUAGGCCAAAUGACUUAUUUAGUCUUUUAUUUUAUUUUUUUGUUCACUUUAA